RNAcentral lists this ribosomal RNA (236 nucleotides) under uncultured bacterium. RNAcentral describes it as "partial 16S ribosomal RNA". It matches the Rfam family "Bacterial small subunit ribosomal RNA", at positions 118 to 351 of the family's 1533-position model. The record is from RNAcentral.
UGAGGAACAUGACUUUCGGUGGGGGAGUAGCCGGCCCAACGGCCGGGUAAUACCGCGUACGACCUUUUGGGGACAUCCCCGAUUGGUGAAAGCAGCAAUGCGCCGAAAGAGUGCCUCGCGGCCUAUCAGCUAGUUGGUGGGGUAAUGGCUCACCAAGGCGACGACGGGUAGCUGGUCCGAGAGGAUGGCCAGCCACAUUGGGACUGAGACACGGCCCAGACUCCUACGGGGAGCAG